AUAAAAGCUGUGAUGAGGAGGAGUAUGCAGACUCUUUUCAGCUUAAUGCAGCAUUUUGUAAAUUGCAAACGUUACAAUGCUGUUUCCAGAGAGAUGACGGUCGGUGAAAGUCAUUGCUGAAAUUCUGCGGAAGGUAGCCUCUGAGCUUUGAGGGUGAACAAUCAUCAGCUCUUUUGUCUGUUUAAAGUAAUCCUCAACGUAAUCCCAACGUUACAUGGGAAGCGGUUUUUUCAGACCGCACAGAGUGCAGAGCGAUGCUCUGAAUUCAGGUGGUAACACGGACUUUUGUCCGCCCUGAAC
RNAcentral lists this non-coding RNA (300 nucleotides) under Ruminococcus sp. Its description in RNAcentral is "T-box sequence". It matches the Rfam family "T-box leader". Rfam says of the family: Uncharged tRNA acts as the effector for transcription antitermination of genes in the T-box leader family. The record is from RNAcentral. Lineage: Bacteria; Bacillati; Bacillota; Clostridia; Eubacteriales; Oscillospiraceae.